UACGACCAUAUUACGUUAAAACAUCGGUUCCGUAGGAUCACCGAAGUUAAGCAACGUCAAGCCUGGUCAGUAUCUAGAUGGGUGAUUAUUUGGGAAUACCCGGUGUUA
Acanthosepion pharaonis is the source of this 108-nucleotide non-coding RNA. Lineage: Eukaryota; Metazoa; Mollusca; Cephalopoda; Sepiida; Sepiidae. The record is from the annotation of a GenBank genome assembly.